RNAcentral lists this ribosomal RNA (1056 nucleotides) under uncultured feedlot manure bacterium A54. RNAcentral describes it as "bacterial SSU rRNA". It matches the Rfam family "Bacterial small subunit ribosomal RNA", at positions 30 to 1064 of the family's 1533-position model. Lineage: Bacteria; Bacillati; Bacillota. The record is from RNAcentral.
CGAACGCUGCGGCGUGYCUAAUACAUGCAAGUCGAACGCACUGACGGAGAACUUGUUCUCUUGACGUGAGUGGCGCACGGGUGAGUAACACGUGGGAAACCUACCCUUCAGCGGGGGAUAACCAUCGGAAACGAUGACUAAUACCGCAUAGACGACAGAACCGCCAGGUUCAAUCGGGAAAGACGGCUUCGGCUGUCACUGAAGGAUGGUCCCGCGCUGCAUUAGCUAGUUGGUAAGGUAACGGCUUACCAAGGCGAUGAUGCAUAGCCGACCUGAGAGGGUGAUCGGCCACAUUGGGACUGAGACACGGCCCAAACUCCUACGGGAGGCAGCAGUAGGGAAUCUUCCGCAAUGGACGCAAGUCUGACGGAGCAACGCCGCGUGUGUGAAGAAGGUUUUCGGAUCGUAAAGCACUGUUAUUAGAGAAGAACAGCCCGAUAGAGUAACUGUUAUCGGUUUGACGGUAUCUAACCAGAAAGUGACGGCUAACUACGUGCCAGCAGCCGCGGUAAUACGUAGGUCACAAGCGUUGUCCGGAUUUAUUGGGCGUAAAGGGAGCGCAGGCGGUUUGUUAAGUCUGAUGUGAAAGCCCACGGCUCAACCGUGGAACGGCAUUGGAAACUGGCAAACUUGAGUAUAGAAGAGGAAAGUGGAAUUCCAUGUGUAGCGGUGAAAUGCGUAGAUAUAUGGAGGAACACCAGUGGCGAAGGCGACUUUCUGGUCUAUAACUGACGCUGAGGCUCGAAAGCGUGGGGAGCGAACAGGAUUAGAUACCCUGGUAGUCCACGCCGUAAACGAUGAGUGUUAAGUGUUGGGGGGCUUCCACCCCUCAGUGCUGGCGUUAACGCAAUAAACACUCCGCCUGGGGAGUACGACCGCAAGGUUGAAACUCAAAGGAAUUGACGGGGGCCCGCACAAGCGGUGGAGCAUGUGGUUUAAUUCGAAGCAACGCGAAGAACCUUAACAGGGUCUUGGACAUCUCUUGCAUAGGCCUAGAGAUAGGUGAAACCCUYCSGGGSAAAGAAGMAGGUGGUGCAUGGUGGUCGUCAGCUCGUG